RNAcentral lists this ribosomal RNA (301 nucleotides) under uncultured bacterium. RNAcentral's name for it is "partial 16S ribosomal RNA". It matches the Rfam family "Bacterial small subunit ribosomal RNA", at positions 509 to 807 of the family's 1533-position model. The record is from RNAcentral.
CAGUAGCCACGGGAAUACGAAGGGGGCUAGCGUUGCUCGGAAUCACUGGGCGUAAAGGGUGCGUAGGCGGGUCUUUAAGUCAGGGGUGAAAUCCUGGAGCUCAACUCCGGAACUGCCUUUGAUACUGAAGAUCUUGAGUUCGGGAGAGGUGAGUGGAACUGCGAGUGUAGAGGUGAAAUUCGUAGAUAUUCGCAAGAACACCAGUGGCGAAGGCGGCUCACUGGCCCGAUACUGACGCUGAGGCACGAAAGCGUGGGGAGCAAACAGGAUUAGAUACCCCUGUAGUCCCUGUCUCUUAUAC